AUUGAACGCUGGCGGCAGGCCUAACACAUGCAAGUCGAGCGGAUGAAGGGAGCUUGCUCCUGGAUUCAGCGGCGGACGGGUGAGGAAUGCCUAGGAAUCUGCCUGGUAGUGGGGGAUAACGUCCGGAAACGGGCGCUAAUACCGCAUACGUCCUGAGGGAGAAAGUGGGGGAUCUUCGGACCUCACGCUACCAGAUGAGCCUAGGUCGGAUUAGCUAGUUGGUGGGGUAAAGGCCUACCAAGGCGACGAUCCGCAACUGGUCUGAGAGGAUGAUCAGUCACACUGGAACUGAGACACGGUCCAGACUCCUACGGGAGGCAGCAGUGGGGAAUAUUGGACAAUGGGCGAAAGCCUGAUCCAGCCAUGCCGCGUGUGUGAAGAAGGUCUUCGGAUUGUAAAGCACUUUAAGUUGGGAGGAAGGGCAGUAAGUUAAUACCUUGCUGUUUUGACGUUACCAACAGAAUAAGCACCGGCUAACUUCGUG
Molecule: ribosomal RNA, 484 nt
Filed under: uncultured bacterium
Lineage: Bacteria
Description: partial 16S ribosomal RNA
Rfam family: Bacterial small subunit ribosomal RNA
Source: RNAcentral